RNAcentral lists this ribosomal RNA (581 nucleotides) under uncultured fungus. RNAcentral's name for it is "eukaryotic LSU rRNA". It matches the Rfam family "Eukaryotic large subunit ribosomal RNA", at positions 40 to 647 of the family's 3401-position model. Lineage: Eukaryota; Fungi. The record is from RNAcentral.
AUAUCAAUAAGCGGAGGAAAAGAAACCAACAGGGAUUGCCCUAGUAACGGCGAGUGAAGCGGCAACAGCUCAAAUUUGAAAUCUGGCCUCGGCCCGAGUUGUAAUUUGUAGAGGAAGCUUUCGGCGCGGCACCUACCGAGUCCCCUGGAACGGGGCGCCAUAGAGGGUGAGAGCCCCGUAUGGUAGGACGCCUAGCCUCUGUAAAGCUCCUUCGACGAGUCGAGUAGUUUGGGAAUGCUGCUCAAAAUGGGAGGUAAAUUUCUUCUAAAGCUAAAUAUUGGCCAGAGACCGAUAGCGCACAAGUAGAGUGAUCGAAAGAUGAAAAGCACUUUGAAAAGAGGGUUAAACAGCACGUGAAAUUGUUGAAAGGGAAGCGCUUGUGACCAGACUUGCGCCAGGCUGAUCAUCCGGUGUUCUCACCGGUGCACUCUGCCUGGCUCAGGCCAGCAUCGGUUUUCGCGGGGGGAGAAAGGCCAGGGGAACGUAGCUCUUCCGGGAGUGUUAUAGCCCCCGGCGCAACGCCCUCGCGGGGACCGAGGUUCGCGCAUCUGCAAGGAUGCUGGCGUAAUGGUCAUCAGCGA